UUAUUCUGAAAGGCUUAUGUGGAAAAUAAACAAGCGGACACGCGAUGGUUUUACAUCGUUGUUGACAACGCAUAAAAAUAGGCGCUUGUCAGGUCGUGUGGUUAUAUUAAAUAUAAGCGAAAGAGAGAACUUUCAAGAAAUGAAUAUAGCCACUACAGUGACCAUCAAGACCAUUAAAUUUGGAUAAUAAAACUCGAGGUGGAAACCAGGAGGCAGCCGGAAGAAUACAUCCGAGGACAGGACACAUCAAGAGAACCUGUACGCCGUGUCCCGUACGCCAGAAAGCUGCUCUACCAGGAGCUGCAGUCCGUGAACAUCAUCCCUCGACUCGAGCUGUCGCGCUACAGCGAGUGAGCAGGACAAGGACAGAGAUGUGUUGGGUGGAGACGAGGUUGUGCUCAGUGUGCUGAGGUGAAGCAUCCAAACCACACAGCCUGUUCUUCAAUCCGGGAUCGUGUCCCAAAUCAGAGCUGCGGAAGGGUAAGCGUCACAGUGAGUGUGCUGCAGCUGAUGUUGACCUGAAAAAUCGUGUCUCGCAGGUACAGUCUGCAGUCUGUGAAGUGGGGCUCCUGCUGCUCAGGUGUUCUCACUGAAGUCCGUUUCACCUGAUGAGAGGAGGCAGCUCUGACUUGAGGCUGUUCAAGAAUGAGCGCCACUUGAUCUGGUUCCACCUGUACCACAGGCAGAGAAACACAGGCCUGGACUCUUUGUUGGCCAGACAAAAUCAGAAACGGAAAUCAUUGGUUUUUACAACUGGGUCCAGUUCCACCUGCAAAGGAUAUGAGGCCAGGGAGCAUGAUUUGGUAAGUAUAACAUUUCACCAGACAGAAGAGUUUGAUUUCCUUUGAUUUCAGUAUUCUCAGCCGGUCGGCCUCAUGUGUGCCUGAUCACAAGUCGGUCCACUUCAUACAUGCACAGUAGCGCAGGCAAAUAGUUGCUCACACGCUCACUGUGGCCAUUAUUGAGCUCACGUUGGGUGGAGAUGAGAAGUUUCAAAGAGAUUUAAUUUAUAUAUUUUAUAUAAUAAAGUAAAUGUACGAAUGACCGGCAAUAAUUCAGUCACUGAAAUUAUCCAUGAAAUUAGCUAAGUAAUUCCUAAAAGUCUGUAGAUUGACUUUUACAACAAGGAAGCAGGUUUUCUCAUUAGCAGAAAUGCUCAAUAGACAGAAAAACAGAAACCCUAAAAGAAAGUUACCGCGAGAUUAAGAGAAACGGCCUUGUUUUACGGACACCACGGGUCAAGAAGGAGUCAGAAUAAUUUGUGUGUAUUUAUCCCACUUUUCGAGUUUCAUCGCUAAAUUGGUGUAGUUAGGUGCACAAGAUUGAAAACAAUUUGUUCUGAAAAAAUGCAGAUGAAGAGUUGUUUGUUGACAGUAUAGAUGGUUUGUUUUUAAACCUCUUACCACUCACAGAGUCCCCGGUGACGGUCUAGCUAUGUCAGAUGCCAGUCAUUUAGGAGACUAAUACUUUUUUGGGAUUUAAAUUGUGCUAACUCACUUUGUUCAACACAGCCCAGAGUAACAUUAAAAAUAAAACAUAUUAGAACUAAUUUUGUUGGACACAAGAAAAACUGAAGCAUCUUUGUAGGGAGCCGAACUAGGGCUUACAAGUUUUGCAGUGCCUUUGCAGGGACUUUGCUAUCUGCACAGAGCGUUUCUGGUGUGGCUUAUGCAAAAGAGAAUUGCAACAAUACAGCGUGUUUCUCUGCUCCCUUUCACACACCAUGGGUUGAGCCAGCCCUGCAAACCCUGUUGAUGGACGAUGCAGUGGACAGUGGGAGGAAGCAUCCUAAAGCUCUCUUUGCAGACCAGCCUGUGUGAUUCUCCACUCGCCGACCAGAAAAGACAAACGGCAUGUCUCAGUUGCAGCACCUCAUCCAUCCAUGUCUGAUCUUGCAUCGGCAGAUUCAGCAACACAGCCAGAGACUUCCUGUAAUCUAUUACAGUUGUUAAAAAAAAUGGUACAGGAACAGGUCGCUCAGGUUAAUCCUGUAUAAACAACUGUAAAUAUUGUUUUUCCUUCUUUAAAUAUUGUUGGCUUAUUAGAAAUAUUCUUGUUUAAUUGUUGUUCUCCAAAAAGUGGAGAAACAUCACUGAUGAUGUUCAUGAAUCCCCAGCUGACUCUGGUAAUCAUUUUAUGUUGUGAUUAUUAUGAUAAUAACAGAAACAGAUGCAUCUAUGUCAUGCAGUACUAAUUUAAAAACUCAAAUAUUUUGGACAAUUUAUAUUUUUCUAUCACAAUAAAUACAAGUCUUCAAGUAAACACACAGAGCAGUAGUGGAUGUUUUUUUUAAAAUAUUAUUUUUCUUUAUUUUGAUUAACCACCAACCACAUUGUUUAUAUUUGUAGUUUUUGAAGUAUGGAGCACCACAAAAACUACAAAUAAAAAAAAACAAACAAUCCAGCUAACCAAUUUUGUGCUCUCUACUACCAGAACCCACCAAAUUGUAUCUCAGCCCAGCCCGACGGGCCGAUGGGCUGGGCUGAGAUGGAUUUUGGUAGCCCGACUGGAGAAAUCGCUAGCCCCGGGACGUCGGGCUAGCGAUUUUGCGAGCCCUCACUUGAAUUUUUGAAUUUCAGUUUAAGGCAAUUAAAUUCAAUCCAAAAAUUCAAUCCCAACAAUCAAGUGAUCCCCUGUGAGCAACAGUGGACAGGAAAAACUCCCUUUUAACAGGAAGAAACCUGUGACAGAACCAGGCUCAGGGAGGGGCAGUCUUCUGCCAUGACUGGUUGGGAGGUGAGGGCAAAAUAAAACUGAACAUAAAGGAGAGCACAGUAUAGUUAUGAGAGAUUGUGGACCGUGGCUGGAAAACAUUACUGUUUUCAAAAGGCACCCGGUCCACAACCACAACUACAGUAGAGCUGGAAUGGAUAAUAAGGAUACUCCCACAGAGGACGGACAUUCACUUCAAAAUAUUUGCAACGGCCCAGCAAGCUACGGGAACAACAACGGCUGCUGUGACAAGACCUAGACCUACUUUAAGUGCGAGUUUGGCACCAGCACACCACCAACCACUAGUCUGAGACUCGUCAGUAGGUGGUUCUGUGACACGAGUCUUUCGUUCAUUCAACUCCCUUUCAAGGUUGGCCAUCCUAGUAUUAUUCAUUCUAUUUUGCUGCCGGAGAAAUGCUACACGCUGAACUAAUCUCUCAUUCUCUCUUUGCAACUGCUGCUGAGACUCCAAGCCACUAGUCUCAAGAUCAUGUAUAGUUUCCCUGAGAGUCCUUUGCUCUUUCUGUAAUUCACGCGACUUACUUGUAGCCUUGGCCAGCUCCUCAGUGAGAAACGCUAUCUGUCGCGUAAAAUGUAAUUCCUCUGUAUUAUCUCUGUCCUUAGGUGAAUUAUUUAAUGUUUCCUCCGACAUUUCUUUAAUAGUAUAAAAGCACAGUGUCAAAAGAAAAAAACUUUGUAUGAAUUGUAUGAAAGUAUUAUCUUUGUCAAAGACAACUCGCUGUUUCUGAAGACGCACCAAACUGUGUUAUAGCAC
This is a long non-coding RNA of Oreochromis aureus, 3487 nucleotides long. Lineage: Eukaryota; Metazoa; Chordata; Actinopteri; Cichliformes; Cichlidae. The record is from Ensembl.